CACAUCGAAAAAUACCCUGCAAUUUUCACAUUUUUUGAGCGUAAGCAUUCAAAUUUUGUAGUUAAGGUACCGUUAGCUCGUUUUAAAAACUGACCAAAAAUAAGGUGUCAAAAAAAAAAAAAAAAAAAAAAAAAAAAAUCGGGAAAAAAUGUAUUCUCUACAAUAUUAGGGCUAAACUUAGCUACUAAAUUGCUGAUGGGAUGUGAAUGAGUAUUCCGCAGUCGGUAACGCUCGUCUUAACGUUCUUACUUAUUUAUUUAUUUUUUUUUUUUAUAAAUUUGCAAUUUAUACUACAUUUGCAGAUUUUGCAGAACGCCUUAUUGUUGUCGUCUUCAUAUCGGGCUAUCCACGACUGGCUGCUGUAGCCAGCAAUAUCGAAAUUUUUGCCUAUAAGUCUCCUUGGGCAUUUUAUCACUCUAUUCGCAAUGAACACAAUUACAAACGAUAUCGAUAAUACAUACAAAGCACCUACACAAUUAAAUUUCAUACUCAUUUAGGCACGGUUCUUAAACAAAUAUGGGUACACAAUUUAGCAUAUUUAAUGACAAAGUUCUGUCACUAACCAGAGAACACAUAGGCUAGACAUCUAGAACAAAUUUUUUUAAUGUCGAAAAAAUGCGCUGAAGAGAUCAGACAACUUCGUAUUUGCUCGGCUCGGUCUUUUGAGACUUAAGCAGUAAAAAUAAGGCACGACAAAAUCAGUGCGCUGCGACCGCUGCCACGAAAUGCACCAUUCCCAAAUGAAGUACGGUUAUGCGCUAUUUUCCCUUACUCACUCUCUCCCUCUCUUUAUGCUCUCUCUCUAUGGUCUCUCAACCCAGUGGCGACGACCUGAAUGAGCGCAUUUGUAAUGUACAAAAUAAAAAGUGCUACUCAUACGACAGAAUCGAGCUCUUGUCAACUUCGUUUCUGUAUGCCCCUUCCCCGCUAACCAACAAACGAUUUUCGUCUUUCGUUGCGUCGCGACGAAAUCGCCGAAUUUCGUUUUGGACUUUACCGUUUUUUGCAUGGAAUGCGUGCCUUCUUUCGUUUGGUUUUUUUGUCUAUGCCUAUUCCUUUUGUGUGUUAGUGUUAAUGAGUGUAAAUACAAGUUCAAAAAUGCAUAUGUGUGAUGAUUUCUGUUUUCGUUUUACCCGCCGCGGCGCGUCACUUUUCUGCUAUUGUUGAGCCGUGCGGACGUAAAUUUAAAGGGAAGUAUCUGGUAUGUAUACAUCAUCUUACAUGUAUUUUUAAUGACAAAAAAAUUAAUAUUGUUUAAUUUACAGAUGCUAUAAAAACCGAAGGGUCCACUAAGAAGACCUAUAUAAGUACAAUAAGAAACUGCUUUCGGGUCCAGAAAGGUCGACUGGCAAAGCAGAAGUUCGAUAAUAAGGACAAACUAGAUAAUAAGACAUAGCUUUAGAUUUAGAUGUAGAUAGAUAUAAUAAAAUAGUAAUAAUACAUAGUUUAAGACUAUACAUUUAUUUAUAGAUAUUAAGAAAUAAUAAAUAAUAGAUUUUAAAAAUUAAAACAAAAAAUACUGCAUUACUCAAGCAUUUCUAUCUCUCAAUUAGUAAUCAAUUAUUUCUCCAAUUACAUUGCAUUAAGAAGUAAGCCAUUUUAUAUAGUGGGAAAAUGGGUUGCAGGUAUAUUGUGUUGUAAUGUACGCAUAUUACUAACCCAUAAGCGAUUUUGAAAAUGUAUAAGGCGUUUUCUUCAGGUUGCGGAAUUUCUACAUUGCAAUAUUUAAAAAGUAUACGCAUGGGUAAUGGAGAGCCGAAGGAAACUUCGUCACCUCAUUACUUUCUGCAUUACAAAAUUCAAUAAUUUCAUGCACCCGGGAGAAAAAGCGGCCAUUCCUUAAAAAAGUAAGGCAGCUUGUAAUCGAUCUUUUCAUGCACACAGGCGACAAGUAAUCCAUGAGUAAUGGACGAAAUAAUGGGCAUUUCCGCCACUGGGAAAUAGCAGCAGCGCACAGAAAUUGGAAAUUUUUCGCGACGAUCCCCGCUCUUUCUCUUUGAGUGAAGGGUAUACCGAACUCUUAAAAGCGUUUGCCACGCUCAUACAAAAUGUUUGUGUUCUCAUGAUUAUUUCUAGGAAAGGUAUGAAAGCGUUGAGGCGCAUAAAGAAUAUGAUUUCGCGACGGGCACGCACACACACACUUGCAGUCUCUGGAAACAUGUGUGAGCAUUUGCAUAUGUGUAUGUAUGCAUGAGAUGGGAUGAUAAUUGUUUGGCGAUUCUGUAGUUUGUCAAUUUUGUACGGUUUGAAUUGUAGAGUGACUGUCAAAUGAGCCUUUAUGACAUAAUCAAUAAAUUUGGCAAUGAAGAUCA
Long non-coding RNA from Drosophila mojavensis, 2312 nucleotides. RefSeq lists it as uncharacterized. The record is from RefSeq and is a predicted model, not a curated record. NCBI's taxonomy places the organism in Eukaryota, Metazoa, Arthropoda, Insecta, Diptera, Drosophilidae. The transcript is spliced from 2 exons.